AACGAACGCUGGCGGCAUGCCUAACACAUGCCAGUCGAACGAGACCUUCGGGUCUAGUGGCGCACGGGUGCGUAACGCGUGGGAACCUGCCCUUAGGUUCGGAAUAACUCCCCGAAAGGGGUGCUAAUACCGGAUAAUGUCUUCGGACCAAAGAUUUAUCGCCUUUGGAUGGGCCCGCGUUGGAUUAGCUAGUUGGUAGGGUAAAAGCCUACCAAGGCGACGAUCCAUGGCUGGUCUGAGAGGAUGAUCAGCCACACUGGGACUGAGACACGGCCCAGACUCCUACGGGAGGCAGCAGUGGGGAAUAUUGGACAAUGGGCGAAAGCCUGAUCCAGCAAUGCCGCGUGAGUGAUGAAGGCCUUAGGGUUGUAAAGCUCUUUUACCCGGGAUGAUAAUGACAGUACCGGGAGAAUAAGCUCCGGCUAACUCCGUG
Molecule: ribosomal RNA, 433 nt
Filed under: uncultured bacterium
Lineage: Bacteria
Description: partial 16S ribosomal RNA
Rfam family: Bacterial small subunit ribosomal RNA
Source: RNAcentral